This 379-nucleotide ribosomal RNA is filed under the name uncultured bacterium. RNAcentral's name for it is "bacterial SSU rRNA". It matches the Rfam family "Bacterial small subunit ribosomal RNA", at positions 521 to 898 of the family's 1533-position model. The record is from RNAcentral.
UAAUACGUAGGUGGCAAGCGUUGUCCGGAAUUAUUGGGCGUAAAGCGCGCGCAGGCGGCUUCUUAAGUCUGAUGUGAAAUCUUGCGGCUCAACCGCAAGCGGUCAUUGGAAACUGGGAGGCUUGAGUGCAGAAGAGGAGAGUGGAAUUCCACGUGUAGCGGUGAAAUGCGUAGAGAUGUGGAGGAACACCAGUGGCGAAGGCGGCUCUCUGGUCUGUAACUGACGCUGAGGCGCGAAAGCGUGGGGAGCAAACAGGAUUAGAUACCCUGGUAGUCCACGCCGUAAACGAUGAGUGCUAAGUGUUAGAGGGUUUCCGCCCUUUAGUGCUGCAGCUAACGCGUUAAGCACUCCGCCUGGGGAGUACGGCCGCAAGGCUGAA